RNAcentral lists this ribosomal RNA (465 nucleotides) under uncultured bacterium. Its description in RNAcentral is "bacterial SSU rRNA". It matches the Rfam family "Bacterial small subunit ribosomal RNA", at positions 926 to 1391 of the family's 1533-position model. The record is from RNAcentral.
CAAGCGGUGGAGCAUGUGGUUUAAUUCGACGCAACGCGAAGAACCUUACCUGGGCUCGAAAUGUAGUGGAAUCCGGCAGAAACGUCGGCGUCUAGCAAUAGACCGCUAUAUAGGUGCUGCAUGGCUGUCGUCAGCUCGUGUCGUGAGAUGUUGGGUUAAGUCCCGCAACGAGCGCAACCCUUAUCUUCAGUUGCUACCAUUUAGUUGAGCACUCUGACGAAACCGCCUCGGAUAACGGGGAGGAAGGUGGGGAUGACGUCAGGUCCUCAUGGCCUUUAUGUCCAGGGCUACACACGUGCUACAAUGGCCGGUACAAACCGCUGCAAACCCGCGAGGGGGAGCUAAUCGGAAAAAGCCGGCCUCAGUUCGGAUUGGAGUCUGCAACUCGACUCCAUGAAGCUGGAAUCGCUAGUAAUCGUGGAUCAGCAUGCCACGGUGAAUACGUUCCCGGGCCUUGUACACACC